This is a non-coding RNA of Megalops atlanticus (tarpon), 78 nucleotides long. NCBI's taxonomy places the organism in Eukaryota, Metazoa, Chordata, Actinopteri, Elopiformes, Megalopidae. The record is from the annotation of a GenBank genome assembly.
AGUAGUGUGACAUAGUGGUAAGGAGCUGGGCUUGUAACCAAAAGGUCACAGGUUCGAUUCCCUGCUGAGACACUGCUG